GACGAACGCUGGCGGCGCGCCUAACACAUGCAAGUCGAACGGAGCUUAGAGAGCUUGCUUUUUAAGCUUAGUGGCGAACGGGUGAGUAACGCGUGAGUAACCUGCCCUAGAGUGGGGGACAACAGUUGGAAACGACUGCUAAUACCGCAUAAGCCCACGGUACCGCAUGGCACUGAGGGAAAAGGAUUUAUUCGCUUUAGGAUGGACUCGCGUCCAAUUAGCUAGUUGGUGAGGUAACGGCCCACCAAGGCGACGAUUGGUAGCCGGACUGAGAGGUUGAACGGCCACAUUGGGACUGAGACACGGCCCAAACUCCUACGGGAGGCAGCAGUGGGGAAUAUUGCACAAUGGGGGAAACCCUGAUGCAGCGACGCCGCGUGAGCGAAGAAGUAUUUCGGUAUGUAAAGCUCUAUCAGCAGGGAAGAAAAUGACGGUA
This 436-nucleotide ribosomal RNA is filed under the name uncultured bacterium. RNAcentral describes it as "bacterial SSU rRNA". It matches the Rfam family "Bacterial small subunit ribosomal RNA", at positions 28 to 477 of the family's 1533-position model. The record is from RNAcentral.